UUGGCUCAGGAUGAACGCUGGCGGCAGGCUUAACACAUGCAAGUCGAGGGGCAGCGCGGAGGUAGCAAUACCUUUGGCGGCGACCGGCGCACUGGUGAGUAACACGUAUGCGACCUGCCCCGGACAGGGGGAUAAACCCGGGAAACUGGGUCUAAUACCCCAUAUGUGCCUUGGAUGCAUGUCCUAGGCAUGAAAGAUCCGUCGGUCCGGGAUGGGCAUGCGGCGCAUUAGCUUGUUGGCGGGGUAACGGCCCACCAAGGCGACGAUGCGUAGGGGUUCUGAGAGGAAGGUCCCCCACACUGGUACUGAGACACGGACCAGACUCCUACGGGAGGCAGCAGUGGGGAAUUA
Molecule: ribosomal RNA, 351 nt
Filed under: uncultured rumen bacterium
Lineage: Bacteria
Description: bacterial SSU rRNA
Rfam family: Bacterial small subunit ribosomal RNA
Source: RNAcentral